This 254-nucleotide ribosomal RNA is filed under the name uncultured bacterium. RNAcentral's name for it is "partial 16S ribosomal RNA". It matches the Rfam family "Bacterial small subunit ribosomal RNA", at positions 524 to 776 of the family's 1533-position model. The record is from RNAcentral.
UACGUAAGGGGUGAGACGUUGCUCGGAAUCACUGGGCGUAAAGGGUGCGUAGGCGGCGCGGUAAGUCGGGUGUGAAAUCUCGGAGCUUAACUCCGAAACUGCAUUCGAUACUGCCGUGCUUGAGGACUGGAGAGGAGACUGGAAUUUACGGUGUAGCGGUGAAAUGCGUAGAUAUCGUAAGGAAGACCAGUGGCGAAGGCGGGUCUCUGGACAGUUCCUGACGCUGAGGCACGAAGGCCAGGGGAGCAAACGGG